GAGCGGAUGACAGGAGCUUGCUCCUUGAUUCAGCGGCGGACGGGUGAGUAAUACCUAGGAAUCUGCCUGGUAGUGGGGGACAACGUUUCGAAAGGAACGCUAAUACCGCAUACGUCCUACGGGAGAAAGCAGGGGACCUUCGGGCCUUGCGCUAUCAGAUGAGCCUAGGUCGGAUUAGCUAGUUGGUGGGGUAAUGGCUCACCAAGGCGACGAUCCGUAACUGGUCUGAGAGGAUGAUCAGUCACACUGGAACUGAGACACGGUCCAAACUCCUACGGGAGGCAGCAGUGGGGAAUAUUGGACAAUGGGCGAAAGCCUGAUCCAGCCAUGCCGCGUGUGUGAAGAAGGUCUUCGGAUUGUAAAGCACUUUAAGUUGGGAGGAAGGGCAGUAAGUUAAUACCUUGCUGUUUUGACGUUACCGACAGAAUAAGCACCGGCUAACUCUGUG
This 448-nucleotide ribosomal RNA is filed under the name uncultured bacterium. Its description in RNAcentral is "bacterial SSU rRNA". It matches the Rfam family "Bacterial small subunit ribosomal RNA", at positions 64 to 507 of the family's 1533-position model. The record is from RNAcentral.